GUGAGGAGCGGGCCGCGCCGCCCUUUGUUACCGCCGGGGACCCGCGCCCGCCCGCAGCCCCCGAAGGCCCGGGGACGUCCGCCCUCCCGCGGCGCCUCCCACCCGGCCGAGGCCGACCCCGCCUCCGGCUGGCCGGCGCGCGGCCAGAGCGAGUGAGGGGUCCAGCGGCCCGGCCAGCGGCGGAUCCACCCUAGGCCACCGCGCCCCGCCAGCCCUCCUCACCUUCCCGGGCUUCCCGCGCCCCGACCGGCCGCUCCCCCGGCCCGCGGCUCAGCGACCAGCUCCGCCGCGCGCGGCCCCUCGGCGCCUCUCCCCGCGGGCCGCCGGCCGGGCCCGGGAGGCUCACUUCGCCCUCACCUGGGGCGCGCACGGGUCCCCUCCCCUCGCCGGCCCGCGGCGGUCGGGAGCUGGCGCCCUCUGCCGGGCCACCGCGCCGGAGCACCCGGGACCCCGGGGACGGGCGGCCAGGCAGGGACGGCGCCCCCGCCGAGGUCACCUGCUGCCAGCCCGGCCUGCGGCCAGGUCCGGGCCGAGGGACCCAGCUGUGCCAACGCCCGGGCCCCGCGCCCCCCAGGAAGGCGCCAAGGAGGCCGGCAGCCCGGGCGCACCCGGCUUUCCAGCUUAACGUGUCCGUGUGGGAAGCCGCCUGACUCGAGGGAGGGUGCCCUUGCUCGUUGGCCCCCAGCACAGCGUUGCUGCCCACCUGCCGAUUGUCUGCAGGCCACAGCGAGGCCGGGUACUCUGAGGAGUUCCCGGGUGAUGCGCAGCAGUAUUGGAGACAACACAAGGUCAGAAAUACACAUUUGUUUGGGCAGCAUCAAUUUCCAUGAAUCAGGAUGAUAGGAACCACUAAGGCUCUCUGACGGUGCCCAUGUUCCUGAUCUGUUUUUGAGAACACUGCUCAGAACACUGAAUGGAUUCACCUGCACUUUUCUCUACACAGCGCCUACUGAGUGGAGGUGAUGCGUGAAGAGUCAACCUCCCCUUGUGGACAAAUGGCACACAGCCGACUUUGCCAAGACUGACACGUAUCAGGCAGGACCGAGGGAGUUUGGAACAGUGUGCCCUCCUGCAAGUGCAUGAUCUAGUCCAAAAGCCACCGCAUCGGUGAAGCUCUGCUCCACAUUGAGAUCCUACUCAGGAGUCAGCCACGGACAUGGAGCCAAGUGGUCCUUCUUGUGUUCCCUUAAACAUAAACACAUCCAGAGAGCCUUUUCCCACAGAAAUAUGCCAUGCAGGCACUCUGUUUCUGCAGAAUCCCACUUUGGAUUUAUUAAACUAAAUAAAGAUGCUUGGUCCCUAGGGCUUAUAUCUGAAGCUUAGCCUCCCCACCAGCCCAUUGCUCAGAAACAGAGCCCCUUACUCCAGAAGAGUGUUAACAGUAUUUUCAUCUUACAGCAGCCCUGCGAGAUGGGUAUGACUAUUCUUCCCAUUUUGAGCUAGAGAGAGAGAGGAUGCAGUGGAAGCCAAAGCUUACACUGAAGUCCAGCUUGCCUGGGUUUGAAUCCCAGCCUUGCCACUCACUACCUGUGUGACUGGGGUUUUUGUUUUUGUUAUUUUCAAACAUAUUUACGGGGCCUGUUGUUAUCUUGUGUGCAG
Molecule: long non-coding RNA, 1599 nt
Organism: Heterocephalus glaber (naked mole-rat)
Lineage: Eukaryota; Metazoa; Chordata; Mammalia; Rodentia; Bathyergidae
Source: Ensembl